UACGAAGGGGGCUAGCGUUGUUCGGAAUUACUGGGCGUAAAGGGCGCGUAGGCGGCCUUCUAAGUCGAACGUGAAAUCCCCGGGCUCAACCCGGGAACUGCGUCCGAUACUGGAAGGCUAGAAUCCGGGAGAGGGAUGCGGAAUUCCAGGUGUAGCGGUGAAAUGCGUAGAUAUCGGGAGGAACACCAGUGGCGAAGGCGGCUUCCUGGCCUGUUCUUGACGCUGAGGCGCGAAAGCUAGGGGAGCAAACGGG
This 253-nucleotide ribosomal RNA is filed under the name uncultured bacterium. Its description in RNAcentral is "partial 16S ribosomal RNA". It matches the Rfam family "Bacterial small subunit ribosomal RNA", at positions 524 to 776 of the family's 1533-position model. The record is from RNAcentral.